CAUAUAAAACUAUGAAUUGUAAUUUUAAAUGGUUUAAAAGCAUGUAGAAUACGAUAUGUAGGCAAGUAUAUUUUUCCUUUUUUAUCAAGAAGCAAAGACAAAAAGGAAGGAAAAACAAAGAAACAGUUCGGUGGUUGAAUCAUCCGUCCCCACCAAUGCCGAAACCAAAUCUACGCCCUUGAGUCAGGGUGUAACCAAGCAUAAAUACCGAAAGUCUCCUCCAAUCUCUCCUGCUCACAGUACAGUACUGAACAGUUAACGCAAUAAUAAAGUGCGUAAUAUUACAAUCAUAUGUGACUCUUCUCUGGAGCACUUUCAUCUUUAUGACACAUAAUGGGUAUGGCAGUCCAUUCUCCCUGCAGC
Molecule: long non-coding RNA, 363 nt
Organism: Astatotilapia calliptera (eastern happy)
Lineage: Eukaryota; Metazoa; Chordata; Actinopteri; Cichliformes; Cichlidae
Source: Ensembl